RNAcentral lists this ribosomal RNA (429 nucleotides) under uncultured bacterium. RNAcentral describes it as "partial 16S ribosomal RNA". It matches the Rfam family "Bacterial small subunit ribosomal RNA", at positions 356 to 777 of the family's 1533-position model. The record is from RNAcentral.
UAGGAAUCUUCCACAAUGGACGCAAGUCUGAUGGAGCAACGCCGCGUGAGUGAAGAAGGCUUUCGGGUCGUAAAACUCUGUUAUUGAAGAAGAACGUGCGUGACAGUAACUGGUCAUGCAGUGACGGUAUUCAAUCAGAAAGUCACGGCUAACUACGUGCCAGCAGCCGCGGUAAUACGUAGGUGGCAAGCGUUGUCCGGAUUUAUUGGGCGUAAAGCGAGUGCAGGCGGUCUUUUAAGUCUGAUGUGAAAGCCUUCGGCUUAACCGAAGAAGGGCAUCGGAAACUGGGAGACUUGAGUGCAGAAGAGGAGAGUGGAACUCCAUGUGUAGCGGUGAAAUGCGUAGAUAUAUGGAAGAACACCAGUGGCGAAGGCGGCUCUCUGGUCUGUAACUGACGCUGAGGCUCGAAAGCGUGGGUAGCAAACAGGA